UCCCGUGUGGCUCAGUUGGUAGAGCGUAGCAUUUGCAAUGCCAGCGUUGUGGGUUUGAUUCCCACAAGGGAU
This 72-nucleotide transfer RNA is filed under the name Salmo salar (Atlantic salmon). It matches the Rfam family "tRNA". Rfam says of the family: Transfer RNA (tRNA) molecules are approximately 80 nucleotides in length. Lineage: Eukaryota; Metazoa; Chordata; Actinopteri; Salmoniformes; Salmonidae. The record is from Rfam by way of RNAcentral. RNAcentral also lists the same sequence under 1 other name.